ACUCAAAGGAAUUGGCGGGGGCCCGCACAAGCGGUGGAGCAUGUGGUUCAAUUCGAUGCUAAGCGAAGAACCUUACCAGGGUUUGACAUGCUGGAUUAAGCCUACGUGAAAGCGUGGGGUGGUGUGGGGCUUGUCUCCACAUAGCCAGCACAGGUGCUGCAUGGCUGUCGUCAGCUCGUGCCGUGAGGUGUCCGGUUAAGUCCGGUAACGAGCGCAACCCUUGUUCCUAGUUGCCAGCAUUUAAGGUGGGCACUCUAGGGAGACCGCCGGCGACAAGCCGGAGGAAGGCGGGGACGACGUCAAGUCAGCAUGGCCUUUAUGUCCUGGGCUACACACAUGCUACAAUGGCGGAUACAACGGGUUGCGAACUCGAGAGGGGGAGCUAAUCCUAUCAAAAUCCGUCUCAGUUCGGAUUGCAGGCUGCAACUCGCCUGCAUGAAGCUGGAAUCGCUAGUAAUCGCGGAUCAGCCACGCCGCGGUGAAUACGUUCCCGGGCCUUGCACACACCGCCCGUCACACCACGAAAGCUGGUUCUGCCCGAAGUGGCUGGGCUAACCCGAAAGGGACGCAGGCUCCGAAGGCAGGGCUAGUGAUUGGGGUG
RNAcentral lists this ribosomal RNA (601 nucleotides) under uncultured Bacillota bacterium. RNAcentral's name for it is "bacterial SSU rRNA". It matches the Rfam family "Bacterial small subunit ribosomal RNA", at positions 899 to 1482 of the family's 1533-position model. Lineage: Bacteria; Bacillati; Bacillota. The record is from RNAcentral.